AGCUUUGUGCAGUGGCAGUAUCGUAGCCAAUGAGGUUUAUCCGAGGCGCGCUUGUUGCUAAUUAAAAGUAUAGCAUUUUUAUCUUUUAAAGUGAGGCUAUGGAAAGUCUUCUAAAAUUAUUGUCCCCUUUCGCAAGG
Small nuclear RNA from Vulpes vulpes (red fox), 137 nucleotides. Its record names the gene U4. It matches the Rfam family "U4 spliceosomal RNA". Rfam says of the family: U4 small nuclear RNA (U4 snRNA) is a component of the major U2-dependent spliceosome. The structure of U4 snRNA from yeast and human has been reported. The record is from Ensembl. Lineage: Eukaryota; Metazoa; Chordata; Mammalia; Carnivora; Canidae.